This 253-nucleotide ribosomal RNA is filed under the name uncultured bacterium. RNAcentral's name for it is "partial 16S ribosomal RNA". It matches the Rfam family "Bacterial small subunit ribosomal RNA", at positions 524 to 776 of the family's 1533-position model. The record is from RNAcentral.
UACAGAGGUCCCGAGCGUUGUUCGGAUUCACUGGGCGUAAAGGGUGCGUAGGUGGUGAGGUAAGUCGGAUGUGAAAGCUCGGAGCUCAACUCCGAAAUGGCAUUGGAAACUACCUUGCUAGAGGAAUGGAGGGGGGACUGGAAUUCUCGGUGUAGCAGUGAAAUGCGUAGAUAUCGAGAGGAACACCAGUGGCGAAGGCGAGUCCCUGGACAUUUCCUGACACUGAGGCACGAAAGCUAGGGGAGCAAACAGG